This 201-nucleotide long non-coding RNA is filed under the name Elaeis guineensis (African oil palm). Its description in RNAcentral is "long non-coding RNA (EGUI_LNC067277)". Lineage: Eukaryota; Viridiplantae; Streptophyta; Magnoliopsida; Arecales; Arecaceae. The record is from RNAcentral.
CGGCGUCUGAUGUGCAUGCGAAGUAGAGGGUCUGCAUAUCCAGGCCUCCGUGAAGAUUUAUAUUUAGAUAAUUUGAGAUUUGAUCUUUGAUUCUAUUAUGAUUUAGGUAAGGAUUUGAUCCAUAAAUAAGUAAAAUAUUAGAAAAAAUAUUUAGAUGUAACCUGGGCAUUCUGGAGAAAAACUGUUCCCUUCCCUUCAACU